Tupaia belangeri chinensis (Chinese tree shrew) is the source of this 1116-nucleotide long non-coding RNA. RefSeq lists it as uncharacterized. The record is from RefSeq and is a predicted model, not a curated record. The transcript is spliced from 7 exons. Lineage: Eukaryota; Metazoa; Chordata; Mammalia; Scandentia; Tupaiidae.
CUGCUUUUAAAAAUCAAAAAGAUAAUGGGUGCUAUUUUAAAUCACCCUGGGGUUUGCAACCUUUUUAAUUUCUCACUCUGUCUGUAGAAGACCAUUUUUUCUUACUGUCUGCCACACCUCUGUAGGGGAUUUCGUCACAGUGCCUCUGGGAAUGGAUGGCAUACACUUUUCUGUAUAUGUGAUGAGACUCCAUCUCAAAGUAUAUUCCAAGUAUUGGGCAAUCCCUAACUCAACCUCCUUCCAAAAUGGUGGCAUAUUCAUUAAAGGAAUUGUAGCCCUUGGAAAGGACUGGAGACAACAUUUCUGAAAAUACUACCAAAAGAGAGACUGCCAGAAGCAAAGUCAUUUGGAGAAAAAGCCUUAGCAAAUUAUUAUCAGAGACUAUCAGCGCUGGACUACAAGAGCUACAGUGAGGAGUACCCACACUACUCCUCUAUGUGGGUGAAGAAAAGAAGUACAUAAACAAAAGUACAAUGAUAAAUAGACAUUGAGUUGGAACCACAUCAGAUAUACAAGGAGUGGUGGGGUCUCUGGCAAGAUGGAGAGCACAUGCCUCAUACAAAAACAGAACUAUCAAGCUAUUGUAGAUUGCUGCCAUGCAAGAACUUGGGCUUCUUGUAAAAGAAGAAAUCCAGAUUUUUGUGUGAAAUCUUCUGGUUUUAAGAUGUGUUAAUAAGCAGAGUUCGUAUGAUUCUUCCAUGUCAUGCAGAUCAAAAGGGAAAGGACUAUGAUUAUAUUCACGCAAUGCAAGUCCCCACUGGCUGUAACUCCUAUGUUCUCCCAGAGCAGCUCUAAUUUCCCCUUCUCAAUAUUGUGAAAAGGAGGAAAAAGGCACAUUACAAAACUGAUCUAUGUGGUAAAAGGUCCAGAUGGCAAUUUCCCUUGGAUGUAGAUAGUGCCUAGAAGAAGCCAAGGAUUCUUCUGGAGUAUUAAGGAUGUUUUCUCUUAAUCCUGGAGCUGGUACCAGUGACAAAGAUAUGCUCAACUUGCAAAAAUUUAUCAAGCUGAAUACUUUAAUUUGUAUGCUUUCUUACAUGUAUGAUAAGCUGGAAUAAAAAUUCUCAAAAUGAUGCCAAGGGGAAUUCUUGGGCAGUAUGAUUUUCAGACCAUUUUCUA